UUACCAAUUAAACUUGGAGGCGAAGGACCGCAUAAAACAUAGAAACAAUUUCCACAAAUAUUUCCGCGACUAUAUGGAUUAAAACUUUCUUGACCUAUUUUACUUGUAAAAGAACCUUUGAUCUUUAACACUCACAUCUUCAUUAGUUGUCUGAUUACUCGUGGCUAGAUACGUGUGAAAACCAGCAAGACCCAAAAUACUCCAAGCGGAAAAAAAGCAUAUCACUCCUACAAUGACACUACCAGGAGAUAAUUUGACAGCUUCUAAAAAUGCAUUUAAAAAUACUCACGCAUUAUUAAAUGUGUAACAGCGCAGGCAAAUAUAAAAACACAUAAGAAUGCUAAAGAUACUAUAAAAGCAUAAAAAUAUCUAUAAUUUCUUCUACCAACACAAUUGCCAACCCACGGACAAUGGUGAUCAAAUCUUUCUGGAAUAAUUGAAAAUAAAAUAUAUAUAGACUUUAAUGGAUUAUAUAUAUAUAAUAUACAUACAUUAACCAAAUUAUUGAAAUAUUAAGGAUAGGUGUAAAAGAAAAAAAAAAAAGAAAAAAGAAAGAUGCUAAGUAUACACUAAAAUUUCUUAACCUACCUACACAAUUAUCGCAUAAGCUACAGUGCGAGGCUCUUGGUGGUCUAAAUAUCUUACAAGUAAAGCAAUAUUUUAACUUUACGGGCUGUCCUCGUACCAAUACUUCUUUUGUUCUUGGAGGUGGUCUAUAUGUUUUAGAGUUACCAUUAUUUGGUACUUCUGUAUCAGCACAUGCAACAGACAUAAAUAACCUCAUCAGGGGUCGCUCUUGGAAUAACACCAGGAUCACUAAAGCUCGUUCGAAACAACGCAGACAUUACAAAUACGAAUAAUAAUCCACCUAUUACCGGAAUUGCAGGUGUUAUAUGUACAGCCAAAAAUGGACAACUGUAAAAUAUCAAUAGAGAUAUUUAAAGAAAAUAAAACUAAAUGACAACGGCUAAAA
RNAcentral lists this long non-coding RNA (973 nucleotides) under Polistes fuscatus (common paper wasp). RNAcentral's name for it is "uncharacterized LOC122525619, transcript variant X1". Lineage: Eukaryota; Metazoa; Arthropoda; Insecta; Hymenoptera; Vespidae. The record is from RNAcentral.